CGCAAGCCUGAACGAGCGAUGCCGCGUGAGUGAAGAAGGCCUUCGGGUCGUAAAGCUCUGUUGCGGGGGAAAAAAGGCAGCAUCAGGAAAUGGGUGCUGACUGAUGGUGCCCCGCCACGAAAGUCACGGCUAACUACGUCGCC
This 143-nucleotide ribosomal RNA is filed under the name uncultured bacterium. RNAcentral describes it as "partial 16S ribosomal RNA". It matches the Rfam family "Bacterial small subunit ribosomal RNA", at positions 376 to 509 of the family's 1533-position model. The record is from RNAcentral.